UGGGGAAUUUUGGACAAUGGGCGAAAGCCUGAUCCAGCAAUGCCGCGUGUGUGAAGAAGGCCUUCGGGUUGUAAAGCACUUUUGUCCGGAAAGAAAUCCUUGGCUCUAAUACAGUCGGGGGAUGACGGUACCGGAAGAAUAAGCACCGGCUAACUACGUGCCAGCAGCCGCGGUAAUACGUAGGGUGCAAGCGUUAAUCGGAAUUACUGGGCGUAAGCGUGCGCAGGCGGUUUGCUAAGACCGAUGUGAAAUCCCCGGGCUCAACCUGGGAACUGCAUUGGUGACUGGCAGGCUAGAGUAUGGCAGAGGGGGGUAGAAUUCCACGUGUAGCAGUGAAAUGCGUAGAGAUGUGGAGGAAUACCGAUGGCGAAGGCAGCCCCCUGG
Molecule: ribosomal RNA, 384 nt
Filed under: uncultured bacterium
Lineage: Bacteria
Description: partial 16S ribosomal RNA
Rfam family: Bacterial small subunit ribosomal RNA
Source: RNAcentral